This is a non-coding RNA of Patiria miniata (bat star), 73 nucleotides long. The record is from the annotation of a RefSeq genome assembly. Lineage: Eukaryota; Metazoa; Echinodermata; Asteroidea; Valvatida; Asterinidae.
GGCUGGAUAGCUCAGUUGGUAGAGUGCUGGAUCGGUAAUCUUGAGGUCCCAGGUUCAAACCCUGCUCCGGUCA